RNAcentral lists this ribosomal RNA (429 nucleotides) under Pseudomonadota bacterium. RNAcentral describes it as "Proteobacteria bacterium partial 16S ribosomal RNA". It matches the Rfam family "Bacterial small subunit ribosomal RNA", at positions 355 to 776 of the family's 1533-position model. The record is from RNAcentral. Lineage: Bacteria; Pseudomonadati; Pseudomonadota.
UGGGGAAUAUUGGACAAUGGGCGAAAGCCUGAUCCAGCCAUGCCGCGUGUGUGAAGAAGGUCUUCGGAUUGUAAAGCGCUUUAAGUUGGGAGGAAGGGCAGUAAGCGAAUACCUUGCUGUUUUGACGUUACCGACAGAAUAAGCACCGGCUAACUCUGUGCCAGCAGCCGCGGUAAUACAGAGGGUGCAAGCGUUAAUCGGAAUUACUGGGCGUAAAGCGCGCGUAGGUGGUUCGUUAAGUUGAAUGUGAAAGCCCCGGGCUCAACCUGGGAACUGCAUCCGAAGCUGGCGAGCUAGAGUAGGGCAGAGGGUGGUGGAAUUUCCUGUGUAGCGGUGAAAUGCGUAGAUAUAGGAAGGAACACCAGUGGCGAAGGCGACCACCUGGGCUCAUACUGACACUGAGGUGCGAAAGCGUGGGGAGCAAACAGG